This 916-nucleotide ribosomal RNA is filed under the name Arthrobacter sp. O5.NA. RNAcentral's name for it is "bacterial SSU rRNA". It matches the Rfam family "Bacterial small subunit ribosomal RNA", at positions 35 to 964 of the family's 1533-position model. Lineage: Bacteria; Bacillati; Actinomycetota; Actinomycetes; Micrococcales; Micrococcaceae. The record is from RNAcentral.
GCUGGACGGCGUGCUUAGACAUGGAAGUCGAACGAUGACCCCGUGCUUGCACGGGUGAUUAGUGGCGAACGGGUGAGUAACACGUGAGUAACCUGCCCCCGACUUUGGGAUAAGCCCGGGAAACUGGGUCUAAUACCGGAUAUGACUUCUUACCGCAUGGUGGGUUGUUGAAAGAUUUAUCGGUGGGGGAUGGACUCGCGGCCUAUCAGCUUGUUGGUGAGGUAAUGGCUCACCAAGGCGACGACGGGUAGCCGGCCUGAGAGGGUGACCGGCCACACUGGGACUGAGACACGGCCCAGACUCCUACGGGAGGCAGCAGUGGGGAAUAUUGCACAAUGGGCGAAAGCCUGAUGCAGCGACGCCGCGUGAGGGAUGACGGCCUUCGGGUUGUAAACCUCUUUCAGUAGGGAAGAAGCGAAAGUGACGGUACCUGCAGAAGAAGCGCCGGCUAACUACGUGCCAGCAGCCGCGGUAAUACGUAGGGCGCAAGCGUUAUCCGGAUUUAUUGGGCGUAAAGAGCUCGUAGGCGGUUUGUCGCGUCUGCCGUGAAAGUCCGAGGCUCAACCUCGGAUCUGCGGUGGGUACGGGCAGACUAGAGUGAUGUAGGGGAGACUGGAAUUCCUGGUGUAGCGGUGAAAUGCGCAGAUAUCAGGAGGAACACCGAUGGCGAAGGCAGGUCUCUGGGCAUUUACUGACGCUGAGGAGCGAAAGCAUGGGGAGCGAACAGGAUUAGAUACCCUGGUAGUCCAUGCCGUAAACGUUGGGCACUAGGUGUGGGGGACAUUCCACGUUUUCCGCGCCGUAGCUAACGCAUUAAGUGCCCCGCCUGGGGAGUACGGCCGCAAGGCUAAAACUCAAAGGAAUUGACGGGGCCCGCACAAGCGGCGGAGCAUGCGGAUUAUUCGAUGCUACGCGA